This 477-nucleotide long non-coding RNA is filed under the name Daucus carota (carrot). RNAcentral's name for it is "long non-coding RNA (DCAR_LNC007234)". Lineage: Eukaryota; Viridiplantae; Streptophyta; Magnoliopsida; Apiales; Apiaceae. The record is from RNAcentral.
GAGGGACUUGCUUAAUAUAUUUGGUACAAAUAAGAAAAUUCAAUUUAUCCGGGAACGUCAUAUCCACUUAUUACAUGUGCAAAGGCAUAUGGCAAGGCGAGUACUAUAUUCAUGCUGCUCGUUUUCUAUAAAAGACAGUGCGUUUGACAUCCACUUCUGGCUGCACUAACGUAACCAUUUUCAUGGUAAGAUGGAAAGGCUAUUUAUAAGAUACUUUUGGAACAACUGAUUUCUCAUGUCUUCAUCAUUCCUCUACUCCCUUAUUUUCCCUCCUCUCCUGUAAUUUCUUCGCAGACACAAAAUAUAUACGUGUAUGUAUAUAUAAGAAUCAACAAACUGAGUUAAAACUUUUGGUUUUCGUCUUUACAAAUACCUAAGCGAAAUGAUAAAGUUCAAUAAUUAAUUGUGAGACCUUUCAAUUUCUGGCGGGAAUUUCAAAUUUUCAAAACAACAAUAAGUAGUAAAAUCCUAGAAAUU